UACGUAGGGACCAAGCGUUGUUCGGAUUUACUGGGCGUAAAGGGCGCGUAGGCGGCAAUUCAAGUCAUCUGUGAAAUCUCCGGGCUUAACUCGGAACGGUCAGAUGAUACUGCUUUGCUAGAGUGCGGAAGGGGCAAUCGGAAUUCUCGGUGUAGCGGUGAAAUGCGUAGAUAUCGAGAGGAACACCGGUGGCGAAGGCGGCGAUCUGGACGAUGACUGACGCUGAGACGCGAAAGCGUGGGGAGCAAACAGG
This 253-nucleotide ribosomal RNA is filed under the name uncultured bacterium. RNAcentral's name for it is "partial 16S ribosomal RNA". It matches the Rfam family "Bacterial small subunit ribosomal RNA", at positions 524 to 776 of the family's 1533-position model. The record is from RNAcentral.